GACGAACGCUGGCGGCGUGCUUAACACAUGCAAGUCGAACGGAAAGGCCCCUUUGGGGGUACUCGAGUGGCGAACGGGUGAGUAACACGUGAGUAACCUGCCCUUGACUUCGGGAUAACUUCAGGAAACUGGGGCUAAUACCGGAUAGGAAUCCUUGCGGCAUGGUGGGGGUUGGAAAGCUUCGGCGGUUUUGGAUGGACUCGCGGCUUAUCAGCUUGUUGGUGGGGUAGUGGCUUACCAAGGCUUUGACGGGUAGCCGGCCUGAGAGGGCGACCGGCCACAUUGGGACUGAGAUACGGCCCAGACUCCUACGGGAGGCAGCAGUGGGGAAUAUUGCACAAUGGGCGGAAGCCUGAUGCAGCAACGCCGCGUGCGGGAUGACGGCCUUCGGGUUGUAAACCGCUUUCAGCAGGGGCGAAGCUUGUGGUGACGGUACCUGCAGAAGAAGCACCGGCUAACUACGUG
RNAcentral lists this ribosomal RNA (465 nucleotides) under uncultured bacterium. RNAcentral's name for it is "partial 16S ribosomal RNA". It matches the Rfam family "Bacterial small subunit ribosomal RNA", at positions 28 to 507 of the family's 1533-position model. The record is from RNAcentral.